GCAUAUCAAUAAGCGGAGGAAAAGAAACCAACAGGGAUUGCCCCAGUAACGGCGAGUGAAGCGGCAACAGCUCAAAUUUGAAAUCUGGCCCCCAGGGUCCGAGUUGUAAUUUGCAGAGGAUGCUUUUGGCGAGGUGCCUUCCGAGUUCCCUGGAACGGGACGCCAUAGAGGGUGAGAGCCCCGUCUGGUCGGACACCGAGCCUCUGUAAAGCUCCUUCGACGAGUCGAGUAGUUUGGGAAUGCUGCUCAAAAUGGGAGGUAUAUGUCUUCUAAAGCUAAAUAUUGGCCAGAGACCGAUAGCGCACAAGUAGAGUGAUCGAAAGAUGAAAAGCACUUUGAAAAGAGGGUUAAAAAGUACGUGAAAUUGUUGAAAGGGAAGCGCCUAUGACCAGACUUGGGCCCGGUGAAUCAUCCAGCGUUCUCGCUGGUGCACUUUGCCGGGCACAGGCCAGCAUCAGUUUGGCGCGGGGGAAAAAGGCUCUGGGAAUGUGGCUCCUCCGGGAGUGUUAUAGCCCACUGCGUAAUACCCUGCGCCGGACUGAGGUACGCGCAUUGCAAGGAUGCUGGCGUAAUGGUCAUCAGCGACCCGUCUUGAAACACGGACCAAGGAGUCGUCUUCGUAUGCGAGUGUUCGGGUGUCAAACCCCUACGCGUAAUGAAAGUGAACGCAGGUGAGAGCUUCGGCGCAUCAUCGACCGAUCCUGAUGUUCUCGGAUGGAUUUGAGUAAGAGCAUACGGGGCCGGACCCGAAAGAAGGUGAACUAUGCCUGUAUAGGGUGAAGCCAGAGGAAACUCUGGUGGAGGCUCGCAGCGGUUCUGACGUGCGAAUCGAUCGUCAAAUAUGGGCAUGGGGGCGAAAGACUAAUCGAACCUUCUAGUAGCUGGUUUCCGCCGA
Molecule: ribosomal RNA, 895 nt
Filed under: Cordyceps sp. JQ-2019a
Lineage: Eukaryota; Fungi; Ascomycota; Sordariomycetes; Hypocreales; Cordycipitaceae
Description: partial large subunit ribosomal RNA
Rfam family: Eukaryotic large subunit ribosomal RNA
Source: RNAcentral